CCUACGGGUGGCAGCAGUGAGGAAUAUUGGUCAAUGGGCGGGAGCCUGAACCAGCCAAGUCGCGUGAAUGAAGAAGGUACUUAGUAUUGUAAACUUCUUUUGUCGGGGAACAAAGGCGUAGACGCGUCUCCGGAUGAGUGUACCCGACGAAAAAGCAUCGGCAAACUCCGUGCCAGCAGCCGCGGUAAUACGGGGGAUGCGAUCGUUAUCCGGAUUUAUUGGGUUUAAAGGGUGCGCAGGGGGGAAAUCAAGUCAGCGGUAAAAUGUCGGGGCUCAACCCCGGCCGGCCGUUGAAACUGGUUAUCUAGAGUAGGAGAGAAGUAGGCGGAAUUCGUGGUGUAGCGGUGAAAUGCGUAGAUA
Molecule: ribosomal RNA, 360 nt
Filed under: uncultured bacterium
Lineage: Bacteria
Description: partial 16S ribosomal RNA
Rfam family: Bacterial small subunit ribosomal RNA
Source: RNAcentral